ACCCCACCACCCAGGGCCCAGGGUGGUGGAAACUUAUCAAAUACCCCCGACAAGUGAGGCUUGCUGUCCGGUGCCCCCCGCGUAGUGGAAGAUUAAGAGAUGCAGGGUUGUUCGUGUAAAUUGCAAAAAUUGUAGGAAUUGGAAGAAACUAGUCUAAACGAAGGAGAACUUUCAAAAUUAGAGGGAAACCAAUUCAGGCUUCGAUCGAGUUCGAAUUUCGAAGCUAGCAAUAACAGAGUUAUGGCGUCGGAAAAAAAGGAAGAACACGUCAGAGAAGAGCGUGAUGCUCCAGCACACCACCCAUCCGCACCUGCCGAUGAGAAAAUUGGGGACAAAGCUUGGCUAUUUUUUUUACUGUAACUAAAGAUCGAAUUAGCUCUCUAUAGGUGCGAUGUUAAAAAUUUGAUGAUGCCUAUUGAAGCAAUUUAAACUCGUGUGCUUGCACAUUUUAGAAGUGAGUGGUGGUGAUAUUGAAUGAAGGGUUAUGUUAACUUGUAUCCACGGGAGCAUAUCAGGGAAAGAUUCUUUUUUUAUUUGACAUUUCAACAACGGUUGAUCCGAGUUACAUAAUAUCACUGAUACGUAAACUUCUUCCUAGUAAUGUGGGAAAUGGCCACGUUGAUGGUCGCGAUGUCCCAAGUAAAAAAUUGAAUGCUGAUCCUGUAGAAGAGAGUACGGAUUCUCUCUCUGGAGAUAGAGUUCUAAGUUCCCCGAAGCAUAAUUUCAAGGCCAUGGAUGUUGUUGAUUGUGCAGAUAGAUCCUAUUGCGAAGGGGAAGCUGAAGAUCCAUGCAGUAAACUUGAACAGGCUGAUGUAUCAGCUGGAGAAGAAGCUUGGGAAGAAUAUGGUUGUGUCUUGUGGGAUCUUGCUGCUAGUGUAACUCAUGCAGAACUCAUGGUGCAAAACCUUCUCCUUGAGGUGCUUUUAGCAAACCUUAUGGUUUCCCAAUCUGUGCGUGUCAUGGAGAUUAUCCUUGGAAUCAUUGGAAACCUUUCAUGCCAUGAAGUUCUCAUGAAGUAUAUUGUCUCUACAAAUGGGCUGAUUCAAAUAAUAGUUAAUCAGUUGUUUUUAGAUGAUAGCCAAUGCCUAAACGAAGCUUUCCGGCUUUUAACUUCAUGUCUUUGUAGUUGUGAAUGUAUUGUUUGGGCUGAGGCACUGCAGUCUGAACGUAUUUUACAACGUAUUUUAUGGAUUGCAGAAAAUACAUUAAAUCUACAUCUCUUGGAAAAGAGUGUUGGGCUGUUAUUAGCCAUCUUAGAAUGUCAACAGGAAGUAGCUCUUGUUCUUCACCCACCUUUGAUGAAGCUGGAUUUAUCAAGUCUUUUGAUUAAUCUCUUGACCCUUGAAAUGAACAAAUUAGCAAGUGAAAGAAUACCUGAAAGGUACCCUGUUCUUGAUGUUAUUCUUCGUGCUAUUGAAGCUUUUUCUGGUUUAGAUGGUCACUCCCAAGAAAUUUGCUCAAAUAAGCAACUACUUCAACAACUUUGUAAUCUGGUCAAAAUCCCUGAAAAACUUGAGGUUGCCGAUUCUUGUGUUACCGCUGGAGUUAUAAUUGCCAAUAUCUUGUCUGAUGUACCUGAUCUGGCUACAGAGAUAUCAUCGGAUUUGCCUCUCUUACAGGGUCUGCUUGAUGUCUUUCCUUUUGCUUCGGAUGAUUUGGAAGCACAGAAUGCAUUCUGGAGUGUUAUUGCGAUGUUAUUGGUAAAAGUUCAGGAAGAUAAGAUGAGCACAUCAAUUCUGCAUAAAUAUGUAUCAGUUAUCAUGAGCUUUUCAGACGUAGUUGAAGAUGAUCUUCUUGAUCACCAGUUAGGUGAUUCUAGUCUAGAAUACAAAGCCAUGACCCCUUGUGGCACAAAUUCAGAAUCUAGAAUUACUGCUCUGAGAAGUAUAAUCAAUAUCUUAAACAAGUGGACUGCUUCAAAGGAGGAAGCUGACAAGAAUGAUGUGGUGGAUCAUCAUAUGGAUGAUGAAAAUUUUGGUAGAUUGUUGGAUCGUUGUCAGAAAUAUCUUGAACACUUAGGAGCUGGAAUUGACAAUACAGCUUUAUACAUUGGAGGCGGUAUAUAUUUGGUUCAUUAAGAUCUGUUUCCACAGUCUAUGGCAGAGUAGAUCAAAGGUUGAUGACAGGACAUAAACAAUGCAAAAUGUGAUUGUAAGCUCUGAAGGGCAUCCCACUUCAGCAGUUGCAUUGUUUGCUUCUUUGCUUAUGGCGUUUAUCAAUUCAAUGCUAAAUCACAUUCCAGGAAUUGAUUCUCUAUCCACUUGUUCCUGCACCAGAAUAUCCUACACAAAAGGAUACAGCUUUCUGUUUUGAUCUCUAUUUUAGGCGUCACAUACCAAAAUGAUGGGCAAGAAAGUUCAAAGAGAACAAUACUGAGAGAAAUGUUUCCUGGAUCAUUGGAGAAGAGGAAUAUUUGCUGAGAAGCGAAUAUUGUGGAAAUAUGUGUCAUUUGUACCAAUGUGUCCUACCCCUACUUCCAAAUUUGCCAGUACGCAGGCUUGAAUCAAAGGCAUUUUUAUUAUCUUUGAAGAAUUGGAGGCAUCUUAUGAUGAAUAUAUUGUGCAUUAUAUUUUUUUCGUAUUGCUGAGGAAGGUAAAGACAUGUGGUAAAGGAUAGAUUCUGCUUAUCAAUUCCUCUGUGGGUAAUUUGAUUACCUGAAGUCGGGCAGGGGUAUUCUGUCCCUGUCUCGGCCAUUUGUUGCAGCAAUCAAGUGGCGGAUGAAGGCAAAAAACUGUGGCUGAGAAACUGUUGUAUGAUAUUUUCUUUCAAUUUUGGAUUUCUACUCACUACUCUUGUUCACUCGGGAAGCAACAUUCAAAGUUAUUUUCUCUACUUGAUUUAUCUGUUUCUGCAUUUAUAAAACAAAAUAGAUGCGCUUGUAUUGGAUGCA
RNA transcript from Mangifera indica (mango), 2890 nucleotides. RefSeq lists it as uncharacterized. The record is from RefSeq and is a predicted model, not a curated record. Lineage: Eukaryota; Viridiplantae; Streptophyta; Magnoliopsida; Sapindales; Anacardiaceae. The transcript has 13 exons.